GACGAACGCUGGCGGCGUGCUUAACACAUGCAAGUCGAACGAAGAGCGAUGGAAGCUUGCCUCUAUCAACCUUAGUGGCGAACGGGUGAGUAACGCGUAAUCAACCUGCCCUUCAGAGGGGGACAACAGUUGGAAACGACUGCUAAUACCGCAUACGAUCUAAUCUCGGCAUCGAGGAAAGAUGAAAGGUGGCCUCUAUUUAUAAGCUAUCACUGAAGGAGGGGAUUGCGUCUGAUUAGCUAGUUGGAGGGGUAACGGCCCACCAAGGCGAUGAUCAGUAGCCGGUCUGAGAGGAUGAACGGCCACAUUGGGACUGAGACACGGCCCAGACUCCUACGGGAGGCAGCAGUGGGGAAUCUUCCGCAAUGGACGAAAGUCUGACGGAGCAACGCCGCGUGAGUGAUGACGGCCUUCGGGUUGUAAAGCUCUGUUAAUCGGGACGAAAGGCCUUCUUGCGAACAGUUAGAAGGAUUGACGGUACCGGAAUAGAAAGCCACGGCUAACUACGUG
RNAcentral lists this ribosomal RNA (510 nucleotides) under uncultured bacterium. Its description in RNAcentral is "partial 16S ribosomal RNA". It matches the Rfam family "Bacterial small subunit ribosomal RNA", at positions 28 to 507 of the family's 1533-position model. The record is from RNAcentral.